AGUGCCCGCAGCGGGUCCGGCAGCCCUGGCCUUAUCCGGGCGUCGGGGCUUCGGCGGGCAUUAGCAGCAGCUGAGAGGCCUGUGAGAGGUUCUGGGGCGCCACCGCAGUCAUUCUGUUCAGCGGGUAUAGGACUUUCAUUCAUGGGACUGUCCCUGAUUCCCAGCCAUCACGGGGAGGCUCUACCUUCAAGUGUUAUCCAGAAUCAGACCACCUCACCUCAUCUACUGUGGCCUCCCUGGGAUGGGCCUGGCCUCCUUCAGUCUGUUCUCACCACAAAGCCACCAGAAGGAUCCUUUUAUUUUUAUUGAUUGAUUGAUUGAUACGGGGUCUGACUCUGUCAGCAGGCUGGAGUGCAAUGGCACGAUCUCACCUCACUGCAACCUCUGCUUCUUGGACUCAAGCAAUCCUCCCACCACUGCCUCCUGAGUAGCUGGGACCACAGGUGCACACCACCACACCCAGUUAAUCUUUUUGUAUUUUUGGUAGAGAUGGAGUUUCACCAUUUUGCCCAGGAUGGUCUCAAACUGUUAAGCUCAAGCAAUCUACCCACCUCAGCUUCCCACAGUGCUGGGAUUACAGAUAUGGGCCACCACGCCCAGCGCCUUUUAAAAGUGCAGUUGGAUCAUAGCAUUUAUCUGCUCAUAACAAUGGCUUUUGCUUCCCCGCUCACUCAAAAGAAAUUCCUUCUUCACUGCAGAACUGCCCCUCCUACCACAGGAUGUUUAGGGUUCCUGGCUGCAACCCCCAAAGGUCCUAAUGGUGCUGGUCAUGGGGGGAUCCACACCAUUGUGACAACGAAAUAUGCC
Molecule: long non-coding RNA, 807 nt
Filed under: Homo sapiens (human)
Lineage: Eukaryota; Metazoa; Chordata; Mammalia; Primates; Hominidae
Description: non-protein coding lnc-JOSD1-1:10
Source: RNAcentral